Brassica napus (rape) is the source of this 2638-nucleotide RNA transcript. It is a transcript of the gene named transcription factor bHLH119-like, with no coding region annotated. NCBI's taxonomy places the organism in Eukaryota, Viridiplantae, Streptophyta, Magnoliopsida, Brassicales, Brassicaceae. The record is from RefSeq and is a predicted model, not a curated record. The transcript is spliced from 9 exons.
GUGCGCUCUGGGUGGUUUCUUGGAGCUUUAUGGCUUAAACCAGAAGAGAAACAGCUACAAGAAAAAAGUUUAUUUUGUCGAACUCUCUUACUACAAUAUUUAAAAUACUAUAUAUAUAUGGUGGUACAUAGAUACAAGUCAUAUAACUUCACAAAGUUCCAAUAUGAGUACUCUAAAAGAUUUGGUGUCUAUAUAUAUCUCAAAGAUAUGAAUCAACUAUGUUCCAGACUUGGGAUUUGACGAUGAUUCUUCUUCACAUCCUACUACUUCUACUUCUUCUUCCUCCUCCUUGAACCUGUCUACCCCAAGAACAGUUCGUUAUGGGUGAAGAUGAUAUCGUGGAGCUCUUAUGGAAGAGCGGUCAUCUUGUUCGAAGCAGCCAAGCACAGAGACCCUCUGUUCCUCCUCCUCCUCCUGUUUUACGAGGCAGCGGAAGUGGCGGCGGCAGUGCAGAAGAAAGUGCUCCACUUCAUCUUCUGCUUCCGCCACCUCUCCACAGUCAACCGUCUGAUCAGAGUCUUUUCAUACGCGAAGACGAAAUGGCGUCUUGGCUUCACCAUCAUCCUCUCGGGGAAGAAGAUGAGUUCCUCCGCUCCCAACUUUUCUACUCCGGCCUAGUCGCCACCCCAUUUACUCAGCCGCAGGGCUCCGUCUCUCUCGCACCACCACCAGCCAGUGCUAUUUACACUCCAACGGCGGCGGAGAGACCGAUGGGUCAGGUCAUCGCCGAGAGAAGGGCUGAGAACUUCUCGAGGCUAAGAGGGAACAUACAGACGAGCGGUGGAGUCGAAGUAGCAGCUGCACCGUGGGUUCCGGUGGUAGUUAGAGAUUUGACGCAGGUGGGAUCAAGCGCGACACCGUCGUCUUCAGCACCGGAGUCCUGUCUGACACCAGCGACGGUCACUAGCGGAGUCGCGCAGACUUUUGCAGUUCCCAGAGCGGUUGAGACGGUUUGCGCCAUCGCCGGACCAUCUUCGUCAGUGGUCUCAUCAAAGACCGAAACAGAGACGUUUCAGAUACAACCAGCCACGGAGACGGAAGCUGCCGACGAGAGGAAGAGAAAGGAGAGAGAAGAACCUGCUGAGGAAACUGGUGGUUCGACAUCUAGGAAGAGGUCACGAGCUGCGGAAACGCAUAACAUCUCCGAAAGGAGAAGGAGAGAAAAGAUCAACGAGAAGAUGAAAGCUCUCCAAGAACUCAUUCCUCGCUGCAACAAGACUGAUAAAGCUUCAAUGCUGGAGGAUGCUAUUGAGUACGUGAAGUCACUACAGAUGCAAAUACAGAUGAUGUCAAUGGGAGGCGGCGGUAUGAUGUAUAAUCCAAACAUGCAACGUUUCAUGCCCCCCUCAGCAAUGGGCAUGAACCGGCCUCCAUUUAUACCUUUACCUGGCACAGCUUUUCCUACGCCGGCUCAUAUGCCAGGUCCAGGUCCAUUAUAUCCAGCACCGAGAUAUCCUUUUCCAAACAUUCAAGCAUUUGACCCAUCCAGAGUCAAUUUACCAAGUCAGCAGCCUGACCCAGUGCCAAACCAGUCUCAGUUUCCGGGUUACUUGAAUCCUUAUAGCCAUUUUGUUGGCCUCCAAUCAAUGCAUCAACCUCCUCCUCCAUUGCAGAAUCAAACAACAUCACAGAUGAGUUUCAGCCAGGCUAGUAGUAGCAAGGAACCUGAAGAUCAGGACAACAAACCAACAGGUUAAUAAAGGAUCGGUUCUCCAAGCAAAUCCACAAAGUUGAAGAUAUAAACAGAGAGAUAGCAUGUAAAAUUUAGUCAAGGUAAUCAUGUGCUUCGCACGGCAUGCCGGAAUUAUGCGAAUUAAUGGAGAGAAGACUUAUCAGAGAAGAAUCAGACCUGAAUCUUCAUAAGACAUGUAGAUUUGUUAAAUGUGAAAUCAUCGGUAAUAUUUCUCAUAGUUUGUAAUAGCAUUUAAAAAAAAUAUAUCCACAAUGGAUAUAUGUCUUUACUAAGAUAUUUGGAUGACGUCUUUUUCAAAUGAUUUUACCCAAAUUAAAUACUUGAUAUCUUUAAAAAGGGAAUUUUGAGAUUUAUAUAUAUUAUAUAAUAUUUAUGAAUUAAAAUUUUAAAUAUUAUUUAUUAGUUUAGAGUUUUGUAUAUAUAAGCAAAAUAUUCUGACAGCAACCAUUCUAGUUUGUAAGAACAACCUUGUUAAGAUAAUAUUUGAAAAUGGGACUUUAGAAAAAUAUAUGAUAACAUUUUAAUAUAACUUUACAAUAUGAUUUAAUUUUAAUGCUGAAAAAUAACUGAUCAACUAGAAGAUGAUAAGUGUUUUAUGGUAUUUCUUGAAUAUUUUAUAAGUUAUCUUCUUCUUGUUUAUUCUCCUUUGGCACUUUUACAUUUUCUUCAUUUUUCAAUGUUGAUAUACUUUUUGAGAAUAUCCCAAAGGAGGUGUCCCGUUGUUACACAUAAGGUUUUAUGGCUGAUUCUUUGGAUAUUUGGAAAACUAGUUUCUGUAAAAUAUUUACUACAGUUGAUACAAGAAAAUCAUUUUUUUGGGAGAAUAUACCGCCAGAUUCUCUAUCGGUCAUCCUCCAGAUUCUUCUCUGGGAUGUUGUGGUAAUCUAAAAUAGUUUUAGAAAAAUACCACUAGCAUGUUGUUCUCAUUUGUAAAUACUAUUAUCU